Non-coding RNA from Pelobates cultripes (western spadefoot toad), 215 nucleotides. Lineage: Eukaryota; Metazoa; Chordata; Amphibia; Anura; Pelobatidae. The record is from the annotation of a GenBank genome assembly.
CUACCUGAAUAGCAAGACUGGUUAAUUUGCAUAUUCGGGUAGAUUUGCAUAUUGCUAAUUCUGCAGGCAUGUGAGAUAUUUUCUGUUAAUCAUUGUCUCCCCGACCCCGAUAUGCCAUUGUGUUAUAAUAAGUCACUGUAUGUUGCCUACUAUGAUUUGACUGUUUGUAAUUUUAUUGAGUUUUCACAGCAAUGUUAAUGUAAUGACCAUAUGGG